GACCAGGCUGGACUCUAACUUAC
RNAcentral lists this non-coding RNA (23 nucleotides) under Cricetulus griseus (Chinese hamster). Lineage: Eukaryota; Metazoa; Chordata; Mammalia; Rodentia; Cricetidae. The record is from RNAcentral.